AGUCGAGCGGAUCGAUGGGAGCUUGCUCCCUGAGAUCAGCGGCGGACGGGUGAGUAACACGUGGGUAACCUGCCUGUAAGACUGGGAUAACUCCGGGAAACCGGGGCUAAUACCGGAUAACACCUACCCCCGCAUGGGGGAAGGUUGAAAGGUGGCUUCGGCUAUCACUUACAGAUGGACCCGCGGCGCAUUAGCUAGUUGGUGAGGUAAUGGCUCACCAAGGCGACGAUGCGUAGCCGACCUGAGAGGGUGAUCGGCCACACUGGGACUGAGACACGGCCCAGACUCCUACGGGAGGCAGCAGUAGGGAAUCUUCCGCAAUGGACGAAAGUCUGACGGAGCAACGCCGCGUGAGUGAAGAAGGUUUUCGGAUCGUAAAACUCUGUUGUUAGGGAAGAACAAGUGCCGUUCGAAUAGGGCGGCGCCUUGACGGUACCUAACCAGAAAGCCACGGCUAACUACGUGCCAGCAGCCGCGGUAAUACGUAGGUGGCAAGCGUUGUCCGGAAUUAUUGGGCGUAAAGCGCGCGCAGGUGGUUUCUUAAGUCUGAUGUGAAAGCCCACGGCUCAACCGUGGAGGGUCAUUGGAAACUGGGGAACUUGAGUGCAGAAGAGGAAAGUGGAAUUCCAAGUGUAGCGGUGAAAUGCGUAGAUAUUUGGAGGAACACCAGUGGCGAAGGCGACUUUCUGGUCUGUAACUGACACUGAGGCGCGAAA
This 716-nucleotide ribosomal RNA is filed under the name Rossellomorea marisflavi. Its description in RNAcentral is "bacterial SSU rRNA". It matches the Rfam family "Bacterial small subunit ribosomal RNA", at positions 60 to 758 of the family's 1533-position model. The record is from RNAcentral. Lineage: Bacteria; Bacillati; Bacillota; Bacilli; Caryophanales; Bacillaceae.